RNAcentral lists this ribosomal RNA (806 nucleotides) under uncultured Bacteroidota bacterium. RNAcentral describes it as "bacterial SSU rRNA". It matches the Rfam family "Bacterial small subunit ribosomal RNA", at positions 33 to 831 of the family's 1533-position model. Lineage: Bacteria; Pseudomonadati; Bacteroidota. The record is from RNAcentral.
ACGCUAGCGGCAGGCUUAACACAUGCAAGUCGAGGGGUAACAGAGGUAGCUUGCUACUUGCUGACGACCGGCGCACGGGUGCGUAACGCGUAUACAAUCUGCCUUAUACAGAGGGAUAGCCUUUAGAAAUGAAGAUUAAUACCUCAUGGUCUAUUAAUAUAGCAUUAUAUAAAUAGUAAAGCUUCGGCGGUAUAAGAUGAGUAUGCGUCCUAUUAGUUAGUUGGUAAGGUAACGGCUUACCAAGACUACGAUAGGUAGGGGCCCUGAGAGGGGGAUCCCCCACACUGGUACUGAGACACGGACCAGACUCCUACGGGAGGCAGCAGUGAGGAAUAUUGGACAAUGGAGGAAACUCUGAUCCAGCCAUGCCGCGUGCAGGAAGACGGCCCUAUGGGUUGUAAACUGCUUUUAUAUAGGAAGAAACCUUUUCACGUGUGAGAAGCUGACGGUACUAUAAGAAUAAGGACCGGCUAACUCCGUGCCAGCAGCCGCGGUAAUACGGAGGGUCCGAGCGUUAUCCGGAAUCAUUGGGUUUAAAGGGUCCGUAGGCGGGAAUCUAAGUCAGUGGUGAAAUCUUACAGCUCAACUGUAAAAUUGCCAUUGAUACUGGGUUUCUUGAAUUAGUGUGAAGUGAUUAGAAUGUGUAGUGUAGCGGUGAAAUGCAUAGAUAUUACACAGAAUACCAAUUGCGAAGGCAGAUCACUAACACUAUAUUGACGCUGAGGGACGAAAGCGUGGGGAGCGAACAGGAUUAGAUACCCUGGUAGUCCACGCCGUAAACGAUGGGAUACUAGCUGUUCGGUCUU